CCCCCGCGGAGGCGCCACCUCUACGUGGUGCGGGGGAGGCAACUGCCCAAAAGGGCAGGCGAAGAGCGCC
Molecule: ribozyme, 70 nt
Filed under: unclassified sequences
Description: RAGATH-2 HDV ribozyme
Rfam family: HDV ribozyme from F. prausnitzii
Source: RNAcentral